RNAcentral lists this ribosomal RNA (492 nucleotides) under uncultured bacterium. Its description in RNAcentral is "partial 16S ribosomal RNA". It matches the Rfam family "Bacterial small subunit ribosomal RNA", at positions 29 to 507 of the family's 1533-position model. The record is from RNAcentral.
AGUGAACGCUGGCGGUAGGCCUAACACAUGCAAGUCGAACGGCAGCACAGUAAGAGCUUGCUCUUACGGGUGGCGCGUGGCGGACGGGUGAGGAAUACAUCGGAAUCUACUUUUUCGUGGGGGCUAACGUAGGGAAACUUACGCUAAUACCGCAUACGACCUACUGGUGAAAUCCGGGGAUCUUUGGACCUUGCGCGAUUGAAUGAGCCGAUGUCGGAUUAGCUAGUUGGCGGGGUAAAGGCCCAACAAGGCGACGAUCCGUAUCUGGUCUGAGAGGAUGAACAGACAGACGGGAAGUGAGACACGGUCCAGACUCCGAGGGGAGGAAGCAGUGGAGAAUAUUGGGCAAGGGGCGAAAGGCGGAUCCAGGCAUACCGCGUGGGUGAAGAAGGAGUACGGGUUGUAAAGCCAUGUUGUUGGGAAAGAAAAGAAGCAGGUUAAUACGGGGCGGUUAUGACGGUACCCAAAGAAUAAGCACCGGCUAACUUCGUG